CAGAUUAUUGACUAAAAAUAAAAACUUUCAUCUCUUGCUUGCUUAAUGAUUCCAUAGUGUAUCUGCAUGUUAAAGUUUAGACAGUGGCUUUCUUCGCAUAAUCUUUCUUUCCAUAACUAAAGUUUUCCGGCAGGUGAGGAAGUCCUACAAUUGUUCCUAAUGGAACACUUCUUCCAGGAUUUGGCAGCUGAUCUACAAGACUGGUUGAGGGAUCGACGACCCAGCAACCUGAAGGAGGCAGCUCGGCUAGCGGACGAGUAUGCCGAAACGAG
Pelobates cultripes (western spadefoot toad) is the source of this 272-nucleotide non-coding RNA. The record is from the annotation of a GenBank genome assembly. Lineage: Eukaryota; Metazoa; Chordata; Amphibia; Anura; Pelobatidae.